Long non-coding RNA from Hypanus sabinus (Atlantic stingray), 5134 nucleotides. RefSeq lists it as uncharacterized. Lineage: Eukaryota; Metazoa; Chordata; Chondrichthyes; Myliobatiformes; Dasyatidae. The record is from RefSeq and is a predicted model, not a curated record. The transcript has 3 exons.
CCUGGGGAGAAUCUGCUCCUCACUGCCUUCGAAGUGGUUGGGGUGACCUUGGGCUGUGGUGAAAGUCCUAAAGAAAAAUCCAGUCUUUUGCUUGAAGCCUCUGUGCCGGCAAACUCCCCGUGCACCUGAUCAUUGGGCGUCCUCAACCACAGUCGCUACACCAGCUAAUCGUUGAUGUGAAUGAGCAAUGGGUUUGCACACCUGAGGGACUCGGCAACCUCGGAGCCGCAGCGAGUUCAAGCGUUGUGGAAUCUCAGCCGGCCUCAGGUAGCUUCAGCUCUGCAGCCCGUAGGAAUCCUCGAGGAUGUAACUCAGAGCAAAGCCUUGGAGCAUGUAUGAAGAAAGUGUAUUUUCUUUCCUCUUUUCUUGCCCAACUCCUUAAACUCACUCCACAUGUCUCACAAGAGACCUUUUUGAGGAAGUUACCAGGAAAGUGGAUGAAGGCAAGGUAGUGGAUGUUGUCUACAUGGACUUUGGUAAGAACUUUGACAAUCUCCCACAUGGUCAACAAGGCAUUCAAGAUGAAGCAGCAAAUUGAUUUAAACAUUGGCUUUGUGGGACAAGCCAGAGAGUGGUAGCCUCUCUGACUGGAGGCAUGUGACUAGUGGAGUGCCUCGAGGUUCAGUACUGGCUCCAUUGUUAUUUGUCAUCUUUAUCAACAAUCCGGAUGAUAUCGUGGUUAACUGAAUCAGCAGAUUUGUGGAUGACACCGAGAGUUGGGGUGGGGAAGACGUAUUAUGGCUCACAGUGAGAUCUGGGCCAGCUGGAAAAAUGGGCGGUAAAAUGGCAGAUGGAAUUUAUUGCAGACAAGUGCUAGGUGUUGUACUUCGGUAGGACCAACCAGGGUGGGUAGAGCACUGGGGAUCUGGGAUAUUGGUCCAUAAUUCAUUGAAAGUGUUGUCAUAGGGUCAUAAAGAAAGCUCUUGACACAUUGCCCUUCAUAAAUCAAAGUACUGAGUAUGGUAGAUAGGAUGUUAUGUUGGUUUGUAUUAGACAUUGGUGAGGGCUAAUUUGGAAUAUUGUGUGCAGUUUUGGUCACCUACCUACAGGAAAGAUGUAAAUAAUAUUGAAAGAGUACAGAGAAAAUUUACAUGGACGUUGCUGGGUCUGGAGAACCUGAGUUAAAAGGAAAGAUUGAAUAGGUUGGGACUUUAUUCCCUAGAAUGUAGAAGAUUGAGGAGACCCUGACAGUGGUGUACAAAAUUAUGAGGGGUAUAACCUGUAAGCAGGCUUUUUCCACUGAGGUUGGGUGAGGCUGCAACUAGAGGUCAUGGGUUAAGGAUGAAAGGUGAAAAGUUUAAGGGGAGCAUAAGGGGAAAUUUCUUCAUUCAGAGGGUCGUGAGAGUGUGGAAUGAGCUCCCAGUGCAAGUGGCAUAUGUGAGCUCGAUUUCAGUGUUUAAGAGAAGUUUGGAUAGGUACAUGGAUGCUAGGGGUAUGGAGGGGUUUGGCCAAAUCAAAUCAAAUCAAGGUUUAAUUAUCAUUCAACCAUACAUGAAUACAGCCAAACAGAUCAGUGUUCCUCUGGAACCAAGGUGCAAAACAUACACAGCUCAUUCAAAAUAGCAGGCAAAAAACAUUGUCACACAAAAAAAAAACAUAUGUAGCCCAAGAUCCUGAGUGACAGGACCCUCAAUGUGAUGAUGCAGUGCACAGCCACUGCAACCUAGCCUAUCGUUCCACCAAUUGAACACUAGAGGGCAGCACUGAUGGGAGAGGCCAACCCCCAAUUGAGAACAGACACCACUCCCCACCACCUCCUCUCCUGGACUGCAGCAGCAGGCAAAUGUAGCCCUUUUGCUACGCAGCUUCUCUGCGCCUGUCAUACCACCAAACAAGGGGAACAGGCUUGUGGCAUCUUAUAUUAUCAAUGUCCAACAGGGUCUUGCAAUCGCAAGAGAAAUGUCCAGGACAAUCAUCCACAGUUACGUUGCAUGCUGCUUUGUGCAUGAACUCUGAUCUCAAGCAGGCAGCAGCUCAUCUGCACCCAGUCCAGCUCCUCCGAAUCCAGUCCAGCUCCUCCGACGCACCAGCCGCCUCUGCUGACCCAGUUCAGCCACUCCGAUCAUCGAGCAGCUCACUGAUGGAACAGACCUUCAGUACCCAGUCUUUAGAGUCCAGCAUUGUCUUGCGACCAUAAAAACCACAUUUAACAAAGAAAUAAAAACACCUUUGCUUGGCCCCCGAGAGGCUGCUGUGUCCAAACGCGCCACCAUCUUACCAGAAAUUCCCAGUGCCGGUUGAUCGGAGUAAGCACAGACUAGAUGGGCUGAAGGGCCUGUUUCUGUGCUGUACUUUUUUAUGACUCUACAACAUGACAGAAUCAGCCAUCAAGUGACUUUGAGAGGGAUUAAGACUGGAUUUUUAAAAAUGACUUAUUUUUAAUUUAAAGAUCCCUCUGCUAAUUCUUCUUGUAUUUGAGAUCAUGUUGGUGAGUCCUACACCACAAGACCUAGACUGGUACUGGGCAAGACGAUUGGAGCUGCCCUCCCUGGUGACCAUGUCACACCACUACGUGAGGAAAACCAAGCAAGUUCUCCCAGCCGUCCAAACUGGCAUGAAUUCUCCAUCUUAAUAUAAUCAGGAUCACAUUGUUUGUGGACCAGUGCUGUGAGCUGCCACCUGACCACACUGUGAGUGAUUCACUGGCUCCAAAGUGCUGUAAGGUGCCUUGAGAUUGUGGUAGGUACCGUACUGAUGCCAGCUCUGUUGUCAGUGCCAGGCUUUUGUCACAGCUGUCUCCUCUGAGUGUGUACCAAAAAUUAAUUUCAUUAUCAAAGUAUGUAUGCAGCAUGUAACUCUGAGCUUCCUCUUCUGCAGACAGUCAUAGAAUAAAGAAAACCAUAGAAGUAGUUGAAAGAAAAACAUCGAUCACACCCAUCACAAGAAAACACAAAAACUCACAAACCCCACACACCCGCCUCGCACAAAAACAAACGGAUCACCCAAGCCCCCAGUUCGCCCGUCGGCAACAAAAAAGAAUGGGCGAGAACGCAAAAAAAAAUGGAACUGAAAAAGGCCGAUAUGAACCACAGAUUGUGGAACCACUGAGGAAGUACUUGGAUGUCUCCUGCAGCAAGGAAAUCCUAUCCUGCAGGAGCGCCCACCCUGCGCGGCCCUGUGGAUGACCAAUUCCAGGCCGGUGUUGCUGACUGAGGCAUCGUGGGAGAAAGAACAUCAGGAUUUUGCUGCGGUGGAUGUAUGAAUGGAGGUCUCGGUAGUCGGGUGAUUGCUCUCUCUCUGUUUCUCUCAAUUAUACAAGAGUUUGCUGCCGAUUCUCGAGUCAGAAGCCUCAGAAUGAAAAGGCUACCAAAGGCUGUUGCACAGUACUGUAGUAAUUUUAUGCAUUGCGCUGUACUGCCACCACACAAAAAAAAACAAAUUUUAUGAUAUAUGUAAGUGAUGAUAAACCUGAUUUUGAUGUGGGUAAUUCCUCCAGCAACUGCAGAUUUUCUCUUGCUUCUGAUUUGAGUGUCUAUUUUGUACUGAGAGUGGGAAGGGUGCAGGGAGGGGGGCAUCAUGGUUGGGUUAAGGGGAAAGUAAGGGGAAAGGAGAGGAGAGGGUAUCAGGAAGCACCAGAGAGACAUUCUGUAAUGAUCAAUAAAUCAAUUGUUUGGAAUCAAAUGACCUUGUCUGGUGUCUCAGGACUGGAUGUGUCUGCACCCAUACCACCCCCCAUCCCUGGCACUGCUCUGCCACCUGUCCCACACAACCCCACCCUCGCCAAUACCCUUUGCUCCCAACCAGAUUUACAAAGUCACUCUCUGCUUCAUGUUGACAAAUACAGUACAAAAGUCCUAGGCACCCUAGAUAUAUACACCCCCUCCCCUCCAAGUAUCUAUCACUCGCCUACACACUGGCAGCAAUAUAGUGGUCAGUUAAUCCAUCAACCCAACUGUCCUCGAGAGGAAGGCAGAGCACCAGGCACACAGAUACCACACUGCAGAUCAAGUUUUGGACCAUAGUCUGGAGCUGAGAGGCAGCAGCUGGGCCAGUCCACAGCGACAGAUUGCACCUUCCACAACUCGUGAAUUCAAUUGAAUUGAAUUGACUUUAUUGCUUACAUCCUUCACAUACACGAGGACUGAGAAUCUCCAUCUAAAUGUGCAAUGUGCAAUUUAUGUUCAUUUGUAAUAAAUUGUAUGUACAAUACAAUAGUCAAUAUAGCAUAGAAAUGCAAUUGCAUCAGCAUGAAUUACUCAGUCUGAUGGCCUGGUGGAAGAAGCUGUCCUGGAGCCCGUUGCUUCUGGCUUUUAUGCUGUGGUACCGUUUCCCGGAUGGUAGCAGCUGGAACAGUUUGUGGUUGGGGUGACUCGGGUCCCCAGGCAGCUGCAUCACUGGUUCAGAAAUUGCACCAUCUCGAAUCGCAAGACCCUGCAGCUGUCAUGGUCCUGGCUGGCAUUCCCCACCUUUUCCCUUUCCUCCCUAAUUGGUCCUUAAUCCCAACACUUGAUUCCCAAUCUUUCCCAAUUCCUCUCAAUCACCAGCACCUGGUUUGCAUUAACCACCAGAGGAUAACUCUGACAGCUCUGGUUAGCCCUUGCCAGAUUGUUGGGGGGGUGAGUGAAAGGCAGGAGGGAGAGAGGGAGAGGGAGGGAGAGAGGGAGGGAGAGGGAGGGAGAGAGGGAGAGAGAGAGGGAGGGGGAGAGGGAGAGACUCAGCCUGGUCCAGAUUCUCCACUUGCUGUGGAGAUUCUGCCUCCUGAUCCUGCCUCCGUGAUGGAGUCCUGCACUUGGGUUUGUUUUCCUGCCAUGUCUGUGUCACAGCAGCGUUAGGUGAGGUGAGCUGAGGUGAUCAUCGGGGUCUCUCUUCCUGCCAUUACGGACAUUUCCACUACACGCUGCAUCCGCAAAGCAUUAUGAAGGACCUCACAUACAAACUCUUCUCUCUGCUGCUGUCUGGGAAAAGGCACCAAAGCAUUCGGGCUCUCAUGGCCAGAUUAUGUAAGUUUCUUCCCCCAAGCUAUCAGACUCCUCAAUACCCAGAGCCUGGUCUGACACCUUACUGCCCUACACCUUACUGUUUAUUAUUUAUUCUAAUGCCUGCACUGUUUUGUGCACUUUAUGCAGUCCUGGGUAGGUCUGUAGCCUAGUGUAGUUUUUUUUUCUGUGUUGUUUUUUAUGUAGUUCAGUCUAGU